Molecule: non-coding RNA, 133 nt
Filed under: Hymenobacter sp.
Lineage: Bacteria; Pseudomonadati; Bacteroidota; Cytophagia; Cytophagales; Hymenobacteraceae
Description: SAM-I sequence
Rfam family: SAM riboswitch aptamer (S box leader)
About the family: The SAM riboswitch is found upstream of a number of genes which code for proteins involved in methionine or cysteine biosynthesis in Gram-positive bacteria. The SAM riboswitch acts at the level of transcription termination control.
Source: RNAcentral
UUUUUAUAAAGAGGCGCUGAGAGAUAGGCUCUGCGACGCGCCGGCACCCGUAAGAAGGCGUUAGCCAACCCCCGCCCCGCGCGGAACGGUGCCAACCGAACCGGCUGCCAAACUAUGGCGGCCCCUAUAAAAG